GUGAAGAUGGUUGCUUUGUAUAGAUGACUUGGAAAGGGACAGUUUUAUUCUAAUAGACUUGGAACGGGUCUCAGUUCCUGACCCAUUGGAGCGAAAAAUGUUUCUAUCAGUCAUUUUCUGUAAGGGAAAAAAAUGUGACAGCUAACAUUAGACUAGGCCGGGUUGCUGGCUGGACCUGCGCUGCCCACACUGAUCCACUUGGGUUAGGAUGCCUACUACUAGGGUCAUAGAUCAUGUGCAUUGUUUCUCAGUGAUAAAGUUCACCAAUAACAGUGAAAAGGAAGGCAAGUGGCGUGAUGCAAGUGGUCUCACAAAAUCAAGCCAGAAGUCCACCAGCAGGCACCCUUGGAAGCUCCUGAAAUCAAUGACAGAAGGUCUUUGCAGGGCUCUGCUAGAGAAUGUGUAACAAAAGCAUCCUGGUAUUUAGGACCCCAUGAAGUUACGUUUGGCUUCUAGCAGGGGUUGUUUAUUAACACAGGAUCCUGAAGCCCUUUACUCUUGACAGUGACCAGAUUCUCCAAGAGACAUCUGCUGAAUGUAUGCCAAGGACCAACAAUACCUUUCCUAAUACGAAUAUGAAAGGAGACAACGAAUAAGCAAGGGCUCCUGGCAGUCUGGACCUUGCUGCACCACUGCAUACAUGGACAGAACAAAAAAAGGUAGGGGGGCAAGUGAUGUCAAAGAGGGACAAAUCAACACACUCCAGAUA
Molecule: long non-coding RNA, 709 nt
Organism: Zootoca vivipara (common lizard)
Lineage: Eukaryota; Metazoa; Chordata; Lepidosauria; Squamata; Lacertidae
Source: RefSeq, a predicted model, not a curated record